AUUGAACGCUGGCGGCAGGCCUAACACAUGCAAGUCGAGCGGAUGAAUGGAGCUUGCUCCUUGAUUCAGCGGCGUACGUGUGAGUAAUGCCUAGGAAUCUGCCUGCUAUUGGGGGAUAACGUCCGGAAACGGGCGCUAAUACCGCAUACGUUCUGAGGGAGGAAGUGGGGGAUCUUCGGACCUCACUCUAUCAGAUGAGUCUAGGUCGGAUUAGCUAGUUGGUGGUGUAAAGUCCUACCAAAGCGACGAUCCGUAACUUGUCUGAGAGGAUGAUCAGUCACACUGGCACUGAGCGACGGUGAGAAGUAAUACGGGAGCCAGCAGUGGGGAAUAUUGCACAAGGUGUGAGAAACACAUCCCGCCAUCCACUGUGUGUGAAGACGGUCUUCAGAUUGUAAAGCGUUGUAAGUUGAGAGGAAGGGAAGUAAGUUGAUACCUUGUUGUUUUGACGUUACCAACAGAAGCAGGAGCCGCGAACUGAGU
RNAcentral lists this ribosomal RNA (483 nucleotides) under uncultured bacterium. RNAcentral describes it as "partial 16S ribosomal RNA". It matches the Rfam family "Bacterial small subunit ribosomal RNA", at positions 30 to 506 of the family's 1533-position model. The record is from RNAcentral.